GACGAACGCUGGCGGCGUGCUUAACACAUGCAAGUCGAACGGACAGGCCCUGCUUUUGUUGGGUUCUCGAGUGGCGCACGGGUGAGUAAAACGUGUGUAACCUGCCCUUGUCUUUGUGAUAACUUCAGGAAACUGGGGCUCAUACCGGAUAGAAGCUCCUGCUGCAUGGUGGGGGUUGGAAAGAUUCGGCGGUUCGGGAUGUAAUCGCGGCUUCUCAGCUUGUUGGUGGGGUUGUGGCUUACCAAGGCUUUGACGGGUAGCCGGCCUGAGAGGGUGACCGGCCACAGUGGGACUGAGAUACGGGCCAGACGCAUACGUGAGGAAUGAGUGGGGAAUAGUGCACAAUGGGCGGAAGCCGUAAGCAGCAACGUCGGGUGCUGGAUGACGGCCUUCGGGUUGGAAACAGCGUGCGCCUAUGACGAAGCGUGAGGGACGGUAAUGGGUAAAGAAGCACCGGCUAACUACGUG
Molecule: ribosomal RNA, 468 nt
Filed under: uncultured bacterium
Lineage: Bacteria
Description: partial 16S ribosomal RNA
Rfam family: Bacterial small subunit ribosomal RNA
Source: RNAcentral